RNAcentral lists this small nucleolar RNA (67 nucleotides) under Echeneis naucrates (live sharksucker). RNAcentral describes it as "Small nucleolar RNA SNORD58 (ENSENLG00000003246.1)". It matches the Rfam family "Small nucleolar RNA SNORD58". Rfam says of the family: snoRNA U58 is found in introns 1, 3 and 6 of the ribosomal protein RPL17 gene in humans. U58 is a member of the C/D class of snoRNA which contain C (UGAUGA) and D (CUGA) box motifs. Most of the members of the box C/D family function in directing site-specific 2'-O-methylation of substrate RNAs. The record is from Rfam by way of RNAcentral. Lineage: Eukaryota; Metazoa; Chordata; Actinopteri; Carangiformes; Echeneidae.
CUGCAGUGAUGACUCUCUUAGGACACCUUUGGAUCAAAGAUGAAACUAACUUGUGAAACUGAGCAGC